Molecule: long non-coding RNA, 343 nt
Filed under: Brassica napus (rape)
Lineage: Eukaryota; Viridiplantae; Streptophyta; Magnoliopsida; Brassicales; Brassicaceae
Description: long non-coding RNA (BNAP_LNC017224)
Source: RNAcentral
GGGGUUUCAUCCUACCUGGAUCAAUUGGAUGAUGCAGUGUGAUAUACCAUGGAUUUUACCCAUUAUUAGCCAUGGUAUAUAUGUGUUUUAAGAUAUUUACUACGAUGUAGAGUCUACUUAGAGUGUUUACAGGUUCAUGGACGAUUUGGAGGAAAGUGGUGAUUUUGGUGUCUUUUGGAGCCUUUUGAGGUGCAGAGCUGCACAUAUAUGUCUGAUGUUUAGAUAUGUAUGGAAACCUCCCCUCGGUGCAAUUGAGCUCAUCUUUUGACACUCGAUAGAGCUUUGAGUUAGCUUUCUAAUGCCACCAGUUUGAGGUCAAUCCAACGGUUAAAUCAGACGUUAU